AGUGAACGCUGGCGGUAGGUCUAACACAUGCAAGUCGAACGGAAGCACAGUAAGAGCUUGCUCUUACGGGUGGCGAGUGGCGGACGGGUGAGGAAUACAUAGGAAUCUACUUUUUCGUGGGGGAUAACGGAGGGAAACUGACGCUAAUACCGCAUACGACCUACGGGUGAAAGCAGGGGAUCUUCGGAGCUUUCGCGAUUGAAUGAGCCGAUGUCGGAUUAGCUAGUUGGCGGGGUAAAGGCCCACCAAGGCGACGAUCCGUAGCUGGUCUGAGAGGAUGAUCAGCCACACUGGAACUGAGACACGGUCCAGACUCCUACGGGAGGCAGCAGUGGGGAAUAUUGGACAAAGGGCGCAAGCCUGAUCCAGCCAUACCGCGUGGGUGAAGAAGGCCUUCGGGUUGUAAAGCCCUUUUGUUGGGAAAGAAAAGCAGCAGGUUAAUACCCCGCUGUUCUGACGGUACCCAAAGAAUAAGCACCGGCUAACUUCGUG
Molecule: ribosomal RNA, 492 nt
Filed under: uncultured bacterium
Lineage: Bacteria
Description: partial 16S ribosomal RNA
Rfam family: Bacterial small subunit ribosomal RNA
Source: RNAcentral